RNAcentral lists this ribosomal RNA (600 nucleotides) under Microbacterium schleiferi. Its description in RNAcentral is "bacterial SSU rRNA". It matches the Rfam family "Bacterial small subunit ribosomal RNA", at positions 82 to 696 of the family's 1533-position model. The record is from RNAcentral. Lineage: Bacteria; Bacillati; Actinomycetota; Actinomycetes; Micrococcales; Microbacteriaceae.
GCUCUGUGGAUCAGUGGCGAACGGGUGAGUAACACGUGAGCAAUCUGCCCCUGACUCUGGGAUAAGCGCUGGAAACGGCGUCUAAUACCGGAUACGAGCUGCGAAGGCAUCUUCAGCAGCUGGAAAGAAUUUCGGUCAGGGAUGAGCUCGCGGCCUAUCAGCUUGUUGGUGAGGUAACGGCUCACCAAGGCGUCGACGGGUAGCCGGCCUGAGAGGGUGACCGGCCACACUGGGACUGAGACACGGCCCAGACUCCUACGGGAGGCAGCAGUGGGGAAUAUUGCACAAUGGGCGAAAGCCUGAUGCAGCAACGCCGCGUGAGGGACGACGGCCUUCGGGUUGUAAACCUCUUUUAGCAGGAAAGAAGCGAAAGUGACGGUACCUGCAGAAAAAGCGCCGGCUAACUACGUGCCAGCAGCCGCGGUAAUACGUAGGGCGCAAGCGUUAUCCGGAAUUAUUGGGCGUAAAGAGCUCGUAGGCGGUCUGUCGCGUCUGCUGUGAAAACCCGAGGCUCAACCUCGGGCCUGCAGUGGGUACGGGCAGACUAGAGUGCGGUAGGGGAGAUUGGAAUUCCUGGUGUAGCGGUGGAAUGCGCAGAUA